Molecule: ribosomal RNA, 732 nt
Filed under: uncultured bacterium
Lineage: Bacteria
Description: bacterial SSU rRNA
Rfam family: Bacterial small subunit ribosomal RNA
Source: RNAcentral
AACAGGAUUAGAUACCCUGGUAGUCCACGCCGUAAACGAUGAUAACUAGCUGUCCGGGGACUUGGUCUUUGGGUGGCGCAGCUAACGCAUUAAGUUAUCCGCCUGGGGAGUACGGCCGCAAGGUUAAAACUCAAAUGAAUUGACGGGGGCCUGCACAAGCGGUGGAGCAUGUGGUUUAAUUCGAAGCAACGCGCAGAACCUUACCAGCGUUUGACAUGUCCGGACGAUUUCCAGAGAUGGAUCUCUUCCCUUCGGGGACUGGAACACAGGUGCUGCAUGGCUGUCGUCAGCUCGUGUCGUGAGACGUUGGGUUAAGUCCCGCAACGAGCGCAACCCUCGCCUUUAGUUACCAUCAUUCAGUUGGGGACUCUAAAGGAACCGCCGGUGAUAAGCCGGAGGAAGGUGGGGAUGACGUCAAGUCCUCAUGGCCCUUACGCGCUGGGCUACACACGUGCUACAAUGGCGGUGACAGUGGGCAGCAAACUCGCGGGAGUGCGCUAAUCUCCAAAAGCCGUCUCAGUUCGGAUUGUUCUCUGCAACUCGAGAGCAUGAAGGCGGAAUCGCUAGUAAUCGCGGAUCAGCAUGCCGCGGUGAAUACGUUCCCAGGCCUUGUACACACCGCCCGUCACACCAUGGGAGUUGGGUUCACCCGAAGACGUUGCGCUAACUCGCAAGAGAGGCAGGCGACCACGGUGGGCUUAGCGACUGGGGUGAAGUCGUAACAAGGUAACC